AGAGUUUGAUCCUGGCUCAGAUUGAACGCUGGCGGAAUGCUUUACACAUGCAAGUCGAACGGCAGCACGGGGGCAACCCUGGUGGCGAGUGGCGAACGGGUGAGUAAUACAUCGGAACGUGCCCAGUCGUGGGGGAUAACGUAGCGAAAGCUACGCUAAUACCGCAUACGAUCUCUGGAUGAAAGCGGGGGACCGCAAGGCCUCGCGCGAUUGGAGCGGCCGAUGGCAGAUUAGGUAGUUGGUGGGGUAAAGGCUCACCAAGCCGACGAUCUGUAGCUGGUCUGAGAGGACGACCAGCCACACUGGGACUGAGACACGGCCCAGACUCCUACGGGAGGCAGCAGUGGGGAAUUUUGGACAAUGGGCGCAAGCCUGAUCCAGCCAUUCCGCGUGCAGGAUGAAGGCCUUCGGGUUGUAAACUGCUUUUGUACGGAACGAAACGGCUUGAGCUAAUACCUUGAGCUAAUGACGGUACCGUAAGAAUAAGCACCGGCUAACUACGUGCCAGCAGCCGCGGUAAUACGUAGGGUGCGAGCGUUAAUCGGAAUUACUGGGCGUAAGGCGUGCGCAGGCGGUGAUGUAAGACAGGUGUGAAAUCCCCGGGCUUAACCUGGGAACUGCAUUUGUGACUGCAUCGCUGGAGUGCGGCAGAGGGGGAUGGAAUUCCGCGUGUAGCAGUGAAAUGCGUAGAUAUGCGGAGGAACACCGAUGGCGAAGGCAAUCCCCUGGGCCUGCACUGACGCUCAUGCACGAAAGCGUGGGGAGCAAACAGGAUUAGAUACCCUGGUAGUCCACGCCCUAAACGAUGUCAACUGGUUGUUGGGUCUUCACUGACUCAGUAACGAAGCUAACGCGUGAAUUUGACCGCCUGGGGGAGUACGGCCCGCAAGGUUGAAACUUCAAAGGAAUUGACGG
RNAcentral lists this ribosomal RNA (915 nucleotides) under uncultured beta proteobacterium. RNAcentral's name for it is "bacterial SSU rRNA". It matches the Rfam family "Bacterial small subunit ribosomal RNA", at positions 8 to 916 of the family's 1533-position model. The record is from RNAcentral. Lineage: Bacteria; Pseudomonadati; Pseudomonadota; Betaproteobacteria.